RNAcentral lists this ribosomal RNA (253 nucleotides) under uncultured bacterium. RNAcentral describes it as "partial 16S ribosomal RNA". It matches the Rfam family "Bacterial small subunit ribosomal RNA", at positions 524 to 776 of the family's 1533-position model. The record is from RNAcentral.
UACGUAGGUGGCAAGCGUUAUCCGGAUUUGCUGGGUGUAAAGGGCGUGUAGGCGGGGACGCAAGUCAGAUGUGAAAACCACGGGCUCAACCUGUGGCCUGCAUUUGAAACUGUGUUUCUUGAGUACUGGAGAGGCAGACGGAAUUCCUAGUGUAGCGGUGAAAUGCGUAGAUAUUAGGAGGAACACCAGUGGCGAAGGCGGUCUGCUGGACAGCAACUGACGCUGAGGCGCGAAAGUGUGGGGAGCAAACAGG